Molecule: non-coding RNA, 26 nt
Filed under: Homo sapiens (human)
Lineage: Eukaryota; Metazoa; Chordata; Mammalia; Primates; Hominidae
Source: RNAcentral
UCAACACCUUGAGCUCAGACUUCAGC